GACGAACGCUGGCGGCGUGCCUAAUACAUGCAAGUAGAACGCUGAAGGAGGAUCUUGCUUCUCUGGAUGAGUUGCGAACGGGUGAGUAACGCGUAGGUAACCUGCCUGGUAGCGGGGGAUAACUAUUGGAAACGAUAGCUAAUACCGCAUAAUAGUAGAUGUUGCAUGACAUUUGCUUAAAAGGUGCAAUUGCAUCACUACCAGAUGGACCUGCGUUGUAUUAGCUAGUUGGUGGGGUAACGGCUCACCAAGGCGACGAUACAUAGCCGACCGGAGAGGGUGAUCGGCCAAAAUGGGACUGAGACAAGGCCCAGACUACUACGGGAGGCAGCAGUAGGGAAGCUUCGGCAAUGGACGGAAGUCUGACCGAGCAACGCCGCGUGAGUGAAGAAGGGUUUCGGAUCGUAAAGCUCUGUUGUAAGAGAAGAAAGAGUGUGAGAGUGGAAAGUUCACACUGUGACGGUAUCUUAACAGAAAGGGACGGCUAACUACGUG
RNAcentral lists this ribosomal RNA (495 nucleotides) under uncultured bacterium. RNAcentral describes it as "partial 16S ribosomal RNA". It matches the Rfam family "Bacterial small subunit ribosomal RNA", at positions 28 to 507 of the family's 1533-position model. The record is from RNAcentral.